This 373-nucleotide ribosomal RNA is filed under the name uncultured bacterium. RNAcentral's name for it is "bacterial SSU rRNA". It matches the Rfam family "Bacterial small subunit ribosomal RNA", at positions 527 to 898 of the family's 1533-position model. The record is from RNAcentral.
GAACCGUCCAAACGUUAUUCGGAUUUAUUGGGCUUAAAGGGUAUGUAGGCGGCCCUUCAAGUCGGGUGUGAAAGCCCUCGGCUCAACCGAGGAACUGCGCCCGAUACUGUGGGGCUCGAGGGAGACAGAGGUAAGCGGAACUGAUGGUGGAGCGGUGAAAUGCGUUGAUAUCAUCAGGAACACCAGUGGCGAAAGCGGCUUACUGGGUCUCUUCUGACGCUGAGAUACGAAAGCUAGGGGAGCGAACGGGAUUAGAUACCCCGGUAGUCCUAGCUGUAAACGAUGAGCACUUGAUCGAGGGGCCCCCCAUAGCCUCUCGGUCGUAGCGAAAGUGAUAAGUGCUCCGCCUGGGGAGUAUGGUCGCAAGGCUGAA